Molecule: long non-coding RNA, 1051 nt
Filed under: Scleropages formosus (Asian bonytongue)
Lineage: Eukaryota; Metazoa; Chordata; Actinopteri; Osteoglossiformes; Osteoglossidae
Description: lncRNA (ENSSFOG00015029743.1)
Source: RNAcentral
AUGAGGCGCCACGACUCGGACUCGAACGGCCUCUUCUCCUCCGGAGACAAUUCGGACCGAGAGUGUGAGGGCACCUUGAAGGGCCGGUUUUCCGAGAUCCAGUGGGGCCUGACGACCAGAUACUCUGAGGGAUACGGCACAGAGGAGGAGUGUGUUCAGUCAGAUCCCCAAGGGGAGAGUGAUGCAGAUGCCGACAUUGAGGACACAGAUUGCAGAUUUCCAGAAGCAGGUUCGCUGCAACGAAUCAGUUCUCGAAGACGUCGCAGACCCCGGGUAGCACGGCAGGACACGACGGAGAGCGAAGAUGACGGUGGGCGAAGUCAUAGAGUUCAUCGUUGGAACCUUCGACUCAGUCCUCACCGGACACACAACAGGACAAUCCUGGAGGAAAGUGUUUCCCAGGUCCGGCCCCUGGUUUUGUGCCGGCCCUGUGUUGAGCCACCGCAGACGGGUGCUGCUGAAGAGCCCAAAAGCGGCAUGUGUUGUCAGGCAGACGAUGACUGGUUACGUCCUUAUAUGCGGCCACUCAUUCCCCCAGUCGGCAGGCAAGCAGUCUUGCAGGGAACCCUUGAAGAUCCUCCUGAGGUAAGGUGCUCAAGGGACAUAUAGUGCCAUAUUAUAAGUCCACAUUUCCUUCUGACUGGAGAGAAGUCCUUCGCAAAGGAUUUCCAAAUUCUCACUUAAAUGUGGCUCCUUCUUAUGUAGAUAGAGUGCUCAUGCUAGGCCAAUUUAUCACACCUGUCUGGUUUAUGCCUGGUGUGGCUCUAGACCAUUGCUGUGGGAUGAGGGUGUCGAUGGACCUGGACUAGAGUCCCUCAUUCUGCAGCUUUUUUUGUUACUGGUGCAUCUCCAGCCCCCAUGGUGGGGUCUUGGGAUAAUUGGUAGGCGGUACAGUCUGUCCAGCCUCCCAGCCUGUCCUGCUGUAUUGCUUUAAGGAGACCUAAUUCCACAUGUAGGCUUUGCUUCUAGGGGGAAUGGUUUGUAUUUAACAUCUUAACCAUAUGGCAGUUUGGGCCUGACUGAAAUAAAACUUGGUUACAGUUUUGGAACA